GAUGAACGCUGGCGGCGUGCCUAAUACAUGCAAGUCGAGCGAACAGACGAGGAGCUUGCUCCUCUGACGUUAGCGGCGGACGGGUGAGUAACACGUGGAUAACCUACCUAUAAGACUGGGAUAACUUCGGGAAACCGGAGCUAAUACCGGAUAAUAUAUUGAACCGCAUGGUUCAAUAGUGAAAGACGGUUUUGCUGUCACUUAUAGAUGGAUCCGCGUCGCAUUAGCUAGUUGGUAAGGUAACGGCUUACCAAGGCAACGAUGCGUAGCCGACCUGAGAGGGUGAUCGGACACACUGGAACUGGGACACGGUCCAGACUCCUACGGGAGGCAGCAGUAGGGAAUCUUCCGCAAUGGGCGAAAGCCUGACGGAGCAACGCCGCGUGAGUGAUGAAGGUCUUCGGAUCGUAAAACUCUGUUAUUAGGGAAGAACAAAUGUGUAAGUAACUAUGCACGUCUUGACGGUACCUAAUCAGAAAGCCACGGCUAACUACGUG
Molecule: ribosomal RNA, 497 nt
Filed under: uncultured bacterium
Lineage: Bacteria
Description: partial 16S ribosomal RNA
Rfam family: Bacterial small subunit ribosomal RNA
Source: RNAcentral